Molecule: ribosomal RNA, 402 nt
Filed under: uncultured bacterium
Lineage: Bacteria
Description: bacterial SSU rRNA
Rfam family: Bacterial small subunit ribosomal RNA
Source: RNAcentral
GGAUGAACGCUAGCGGCAGGCUUAAUACAUGCAAGUCGAGGGGCAGCGGGGGUAGCAAUACCUGCCGGCGACCGGCAAACGGGUGCGGAACACGUACACAACCUUCCUAUAAGUGGGGGAUAGCCCAGAGAAAUUUGGAUUAAUACCCCGUAAUAUUAUUUAGUGGCAUCAUUAGAUAAUUAAAGCUCCGGCGCUUAUUGAUGGGUGUGCGUCUGAUUAGGUAGUUGGUGAGGGUAACGGCCCACCAAGCCUUCGAUCAGUAACUGGUGUGAGAGCACGACCAGUCACACGGGCACUGAGACACGGGCCCGACUCCUACGGGAGGCAGCAGUGGGGAAUUUUGGACAAUGGGGAAACCCUGAUCCAGCCAUGCCGCGUGAGUGAAGAAGGCCUGGUUGUAAG